This 314-nucleotide ribosomal RNA is filed under the name uncultured bacterium. RNAcentral describes it as "bacterial SSU rRNA". It matches the Rfam family "Bacterial small subunit ribosomal RNA", at positions 30 to 334 of the family's 1533-position model. The record is from RNAcentral.
AUUGAACGCUAGCGGGAUGCCUUACACAUGCAAGUCGAACGGCAGCAUAAGAGAGCUUGCUCUCUUGAUGGCGAGUGGCGAACGGGUGAGUAAUGUAUCGGAACGUGCCCAGUAGCGGGGGAUAACUACGCGAAAGCGUAGCUAAUACCGCAUAAGCCCACGACCCGGCAUCGGGUUGAGGAAAAAGGAGCAAUCCGCUUUGAGAUGGCCUCGCGUCCGAUUAGCUAGUUGGUGAGGUAACGGCCCACCAAGGCAACGAUCGGUAGCCGGACUGAGAGGUUGGCCGGCCACAUUGGGACUGAGACACGGCCCAG